CAGUAGCCACGGUAAUACGAAGGGUGCAAGCGUUAAUCGGAAUUACUGGGCGUAAAGCGUGCGUAGGCGGUGAGUUAAGUCUGUUGUGAAAUCCCCGGGCUCAACCUGGGAAUGGCAAUGGAUACUGGCGAGCUAGAGUGUGUCAGAGGAUGGUGGAAUUCCCGGUGUAGCGGUGAAAUGCGUAGAGAUCGGGAGGAACAUCAGUGGCGAAGGCGGCCAUCUGGGACAACACUGACGUUGAGGCACGAAAGCGUGUGGAGCAAACAGGAUUAGAUACCCCGGUAGUCCCUGUCUCUUAUAC
RNAcentral lists this ribosomal RNA (301 nucleotides) under uncultured bacterium. RNAcentral's name for it is "partial 16S ribosomal RNA". It matches the Rfam family "Bacterial small subunit ribosomal RNA", at positions 509 to 807 of the family's 1533-position model. The record is from RNAcentral.